This 1346-nucleotide ribosomal RNA is filed under the name uncultured bacterium. Its description in RNAcentral is "partial 16S ribosomal RNA". It matches the Rfam family "Bacterial small subunit ribosomal RNA", at positions 28 to 1381 of the family's 1533-position model. The record is from RNAcentral.
GACGAACUUUGGCGGCGUGCUUAACACAUGCAAGUCGAACGGAAAGGCCCUGCUUUUGUGGGGUGCUCGAGUGGCGAACGGGUGAGUAGCACGUGAGUAACCUGCCCUUGACUUUGGGAUAACUUCAGGAAACUGGGGCUAAUACCGGAUAGGAGCUCCUGCUGCAUGGUGGGGGUUGGAAAGUUUCGGCGGUUGGGGAUGGACUCGCGGCUUAUCAGCUUGUUGGUGGGGUAGUGGCUUACCAAGGCUUUGACGGGUAGCCGGCCUGAGAGGGUGACCGGCCACAUUGGGACUGAGAUACGGCCCAGACUCCUACGGGAGGCAGCAGUGGGGAAUAUUGCACAAUGGGCGGAAGCCUGAUGCAGCAACGCCGCGUGCGGGAUGACGGCCUUCGGGUUGUAAACCGCUUUCGCCUGUGACGAAGCGUGAGUGACGGUAAUGGGUAAAGAAGCACCGGCUAACUACGUGCCAGCAGCCGCGGUGAUACGUAGGGUGCGAGCGUUGUCCGGAUUUAUUGGGCGUAAAGGGCUCGUAGGUGGUUGAUCGCGUCGGAAGUGUAAUCUUGGGGCUUAACCCUGAGCGUGCUUUCGAUACGGGUUGACUUGAGGAAGGUAGGGGAGAAUGGAAUUCCUGGUGGAGCGGUGGAAUGCGCAGAUAUCAGGAGGAACACCAGUGGCGAAGGCGGUUCUCUGGGCCUUUCCUGACGCUGAGGAGCGAAAGCGUGGGGAGCGAACAGGCUUAGAUACCCUGGUAGUCCACGCUGUAAACGGUGGGUACUAGGUGUGGGGUCCAUUCCACGGGUUCCGUGCCGUAGCUAACGCUUUAAGUACCCCGCCUGGGGAGUACGGCCGCAAGGCUAAACCUCAAAGGAAUUGACGGGGCCCCGCACAAGCGGCGGAGCAUGCGGAUUAAUUCGAUGCAACGCGUAGAACCUUACCUGGGUUUGACAUGGAUCGGGAGUGCUCAGAGAUGGGUGUGCCUCUUUUGGGGUCGGUUCACAGGUGGUGCAUGGCUGUCGUCAGCUCGUGUCGUGAGAUGUUGGGUUAAGUCCCGCAACGAGCGCAACCCUUGUUCACUGUUGCCAGCACGUUAUGGUGGGGACUCAGUGGAGACCGCCGGGGUCAACUCGGAGGAAGGUGGGGAUGACGUCAAGUCAUCAUGCCCCUUAUGUCCAGGGCUUCACGCAUGCUACAAUGGCUGGUACAGAGAGUGGCGAGCCUGUGAGGGUGAGCGAAUCUCGGAAAGCCGGUCUCAGUUCGGAUUGGGGUCUGCAACUCGACCUCAUGAAGUCGGAGUCGCUAGUAAUCGCAGAUCAGCAACGCUGCGGUGAAUACGUUCCCGGGGCU